RNAcentral lists this ribosomal RNA (497 nucleotides) under uncultured bacterium. RNAcentral's name for it is "partial 16S ribosomal RNA". It matches the Rfam family "Bacterial small subunit ribosomal RNA", at positions 28 to 507 of the family's 1533-position model. The record is from RNAcentral.
GAUGAACGCUGGCGGCGUGCCUAAUACAUGCAAGUCGAGCGAACAGAUGAGGAGCUUGCUCCUCUGACGUUAGCGGCGGACGGGUGAGUAACACGUGGAUAACCUACCUAUAAGACUGGGAUAACUUCGGGACACCGGAGCUAAUACCGGAUAAUAUAUUGAACCGCAUGGUUCAAUAGUGAAAGACGGUUUUGCUGUCACUUAUAGAUGGAUCCGCGCCGCAUUAGCUAGUUGGUAAGGUAACGGCCUACCAAGGCAACGAUGCGUAGCCGACCUGAGAGGAUGAUCGGCCACACUGGAACUGAGACACGGUCCAGACUCCUACGGGAGGCAGCAGUGGGGAAUCUUCCGCAAUGGGCGAAAGCCUGACGGAGCAACGCCGCGUGAGUGAUGAAGGUCUUCGGGUCGUAAAGCUCUGUUAUUAGGAAAGAAAAAAUGUGUAAGUAACUAUGCACGUCUUGACGGUACCUAAUCAGAAAGCCACGGCUAACUACGUG